RNAcentral lists this long non-coding RNA (3861 nucleotides) under Sus scrofa (pig). Its description in RNAcentral is "lncRNA (ENSSSCG00025045448.1)". The record is from RNAcentral. Lineage: Eukaryota; Metazoa; Chordata; Mammalia; Artiodactyla; Suidae.
AAAAAAAAAAAAAAAAAAAGAAAUCUGCUGAUAGCCUUAUGAGGGUUCUCUUGUAUGUGAUGAGUCAUUUUUCUCUUGCUAAUUUCAAGAUUCUCUCUUUGUCUCUGACUUUUAACAUUUUUAUUUAACGUAUGUCAGAGUAAUCUUUGUUGUGUUGAUUUUGCUUAGGGGCUUUUGAACUUCCUAUAUGUGGAUGUUCAUAUCUGUCCCAAGAUUUGGGACGUUUUCAGCUAUUAUAUAUUUAAAUACGCUUUCUUCUCUUGAGACUACCAUGAUGUAAAUGUCUGUUCCUUGAUGGUGACCCAUAAUUCAUGUAAGCUUUCUUCACUUUUUUUUUUGCUUUUUUUUUAAGGGCUUCACCUGCAUCAUGUGGAAGUUCCCAAGCUAUGGGCUGAAUUGGAGCUGUAGCUCCUGGCCUAUACCACAGUCACAGCAACUCAGGAUCCAAGCCGCAUCUGUGACUUACACCACAGCUCAUGGCAAUGCUGGAUCCUUAAUCCACUGAACAGGACCAGGGAUCAAACCUACAUCCUCAUGGAUACUAGUUUGAUUCUUAACCCACUAAGCCACAGUGGGAACUUCAUCUUCACUUUUUUAUUCUUUUUUUUUCUUUUUCCCUCUAACUGACUAAUCUCAAAUAAUUUGUUUCUGAGUUUGAUUCCUUGUUAUACGUGAUCAAGUCUAUUGUUGAAGCUCUCUAUUGAAUUUUCUAGGUCUGUUGUAUUCUUCAGCUUCAAGACUUCUGUUUGCUUCUUUCUGUGGUGUCUAUUUCUUUAUAAAUCUUCUCAUUUUAUUUAUACAUCAUUUUACAGAUUUUGUAAACAACUCUCCUUAAGGUAGUGAUUCUCUCUCUCUCUCUCUCUCUCUCUCACACACACACACACACACACACACACACUGCCAUUGGCCACAUACACAUUUUUAAGCCAGUGCCUAAACUAUUUUUUAAAGUUGGGUUGUACUAUUUGUGUCUGGGUGAGAUCUCUUGGAUAUUUCUCCAGAAGUAGAGCAUAUGAUUUGUGUUAAAAAUUAUAUAUUCUUCAGAACCACACACAAGCUAAUUAGAAAACCUUACCUUAAUGGCUGGGUCUAUCAUCCAUUUUACCUUGACAAAUAUUGACAGUUUCCUGAAGGCCAACCUUGUUCUUUCCAAGAUUUGUACAUAGCACCUUAUGGGAAAUGGGAGGCUUUAGUAAAUAUUAUUAAGGGUGGAGGUAAGUUAAGGCUAUGUCUUGGUCUUUUACAAUUAUCUUUCCAUUUACAUAUCUAACAAUUGGAAAAGACUAGUUUACAAUGGAAAAUUAAAAUCAAGGGUAAAAUUUUCAGUGAAAAUUUGUUUUACUGAACUAAAGGAUAAAACUCUGCGAUAAUAAAGACACAUAUUUCUUUUCUCUUAACACAGUUUCUCUUUCCAACUAUUUAUUUUGAAAACAUUUUAGACUUACACAAAAGUUUCAGCGAUUAUUGAGCGUCCCUGUUUAUCCUUCACUCACUUUCCUUUAAUAUUAACAUCUUACAUAACCAGGUAAAUGAUUGAAGUCAAAAAAUUUAACAUUAAUACAAUACUCUUAAAUGCCUACAGACCUUACUGAAAUUUCAUCACCUUUCCCACUAAUGUCCUUUUCCUGGUCUGGCAACCAACCCAAUGUUGCAUUCAGUUACCACGUUUCCUUAGUAUCUACAAGUCUAUGACACUUCCUAGGUCUUUCUUUAUCUAUCAUGAUCUUGAAACUUUUUAAAAUACUGGUCUGUUACUUUUUUAUAAUGUUCCUCAAUUUGGUUUUGCUUGUGGUUCUCUGAUAAUUAAAUUCACGUUUUGCAUUUUUGGCAAGAAAAAUCACAGAAAUGCUGUUUAGGUCUUUAAUCUGUAUUGAGUUUAUUUUGGUGUAUGAUGUUAAAGAAUGUUCUGAUUUCAUUCUUUUGCAUGUAGCUGUCCAGUUUUCUCAGCAUCACUUGUUGAAGAGACUCUUUUCUCCAUUUUACAUCUUUGCCUCCUUCGCCAUAGGUUAGUUGACCAUAAGUAUGUGGGUUUAUCUCUGGGCUUUAUUUCCUGUUUCAUUGAUCUAUAUCUCUUUUUUUAAUGCUAGUACCAUGCUGUUUUUAUGACUGUAGUUUUGUAGUAUACUCUGAAGCCUGGAAGUCUGAUUCCUCCAGUUCUGUUUUUCUUCUUCAAGAUUGCUUUGGCUAUUUGAGGUCUUUUGUGUUUCCACACAAAUUAAAACAAUUUUUUUUGGUUCUAGUUCUGUGAAAAAUGUCAUUGGUAAUUCGAUAGGGAUUGCAUUGAAUCUGUAGGUUGCCUUGGGUAGUAUAGUCAUUUUGACAGUAUUGAUUCUUCCAAUCCAAGAGCAACUGUCAUGGAAUGCCUCCAGAUUUCUCACUUUCUUGCCAUCCCUCAGUAUGCAAAGCAAUACAUACUCCUUUCCCUGAAAAUUUUCAUUGUUGAGGAAAAAUUUGUAAGACUUUGAUCUGAGCAACAAAACCAACAAGGUUUUAUUGGGUCAUAUUCUAGAAUAUAAACACUUGUUUUAAGCCUGAAAUGAUUGGAUAGAAAUGACAAUUCAUAAAGUUUGGUUAUUUUUUCCCCCCUCAUAAUCCUGAGAAAGACAAAUAAAAUUUUUGUGCCAUGAGUAAGAGUUGUGAAGUGGUCAUCAGACUACAGUGUCUAUAGUUCCCAGAUUUGAUUUGUAUCAUAGAAUUUUCAGAGUUAUCUAGUUUAGCUUCUUUGUUUUACAAUGAGGAAAUUGUCCCAAUGUUUGGUAUACUGUUUUAUUUUUAUUUUUAUUUAUUUAUUUUUAUUGAAGUAUAUUGAUUUACAAUGUGUUGUUUCUGAUGUACAUACACGUGUGUGUGUGUAUAUGUAUAAAAUAUAUAAUGAUGUGUGUGUGUGUGUGUGUGUGUGUGUGUGUGUGUGUGUGUACACACAAUAUCUUCUUUAUCCAUUCAUUUGUAGUUAGACAUUUAAGUUGCUCCCAUGUCUUAGCUAUUGUAAAUAGCACUACUAUGAACUUACGUGUGCAUGUAUCUUUUUGAAUUAUUGUUUUGUCUUGAAUAAUGCCCAGGGGUGGGAUUGCUGCAUCCCACCCCUAAAAAUAGUAACUCUAUUUUUAGUUUCUUGAGGAACCACCAUACUGUCCUCCAUGGUGACUGUGCCAAUUUACAUUCACACCAACAGCAUAGGUGGCUUCUCUUGUAUUGUUGAUGCUAGUUAUUUGUUUAAUGAAUGAGUUAAAUGACGUGCCUUAGUUUCACAGAGGUACCGUCAGCACCAGAACUCAAUAGGACACUGACUUGGCACCCAUUUCUUUGUGCAGGUACACAUUAAUCCCUAGAGUUGAUGCCUGUGUUUUGGGGCAUCUAGUGUUACUGAAGAAGCCCCAGACAGAGAAAGCAACUCAAGGUAGGGAGUAUAUCUGAUUAUUUCUCUCCUGUCAGGACCACUCAUAGGACUGUAUGAAAAGUAAAUCAUUUGCUGGUGGGGUUUAGUAAACUUUUUAAACUAAUCUGCAUUGUGAAGCCUGAAAAUCAAGCAGAUAAUUUAUAAAAGUAGAAAGGUGAGCUGCUCUUGACUUUUCAUUGAGAAAAAUCUAUCAGAAACUAACCUUCAAGCUUAGAAUUGCAGUGGGGUUAGUGGAGAUGGGCACUGGGGAUCAAGGGAAAAAUGUAGACUUUGAAUACUCUUAACCCAAAUCCAGUUAUGCUUCCUUGAAACUCUCCCACUCUGUCCCGGUGAAUGUGGUCAGGCAAUGUAGAAGCCUGUAGGGAGAAUGUCAGUAUUCAGGUUUCCUUGGAAAGUGACUUUUAUGUUUCUCUUUGAAAAAUUAACAUGGUUAAAUUCAUUUGAGUAAUAAAAAAAAAGAAAAA